RNAcentral lists this long non-coding RNA (1013 nucleotides) under Heterocephalus glaber (naked mole-rat). RNAcentral's name for it is "lncRNA (ENSHGLG00100036899.1)". The record is from RNAcentral. Lineage: Eukaryota; Metazoa; Chordata; Mammalia; Rodentia; Bathyergidae.
AGCUGGUCCCAGUCUGUGCGCUUAGCUUGCUGACUCCCAGGGCCACGCAAGACCCCAGGCCUGAGCUCGGUGGUGUUCAGCACGGAAUUUUCACCCUAACAAGGGAUCCUCCACCCCUUUGUUUGCUCGCUUGUCAUCCUCCCUGGCUCCACUGAGACCCCCACGGGGGGAGGGGCUACAUGACCCUCACCACUGUCACGCCAGCCCCUGGCACGGUACUCAGGACACGGCAGGUCCCCAACAGACAUCUGUGCAACCAACGCGAGUAGGAGGCUGGUGUCCAGCUGGGCCAUCCGAUCCAGUAUCAAGUCACAAGUCUUAAGAUUUUGACCCUGUGUGGCUUAAAAUUUUGUUUUGAGGGUGUCCCCUCCAGCCCAAGGAUCCAGGCAGCCAGCUCCUGGGUUUUCUCCGCCGGGGUGCUCCCACUGUGCUUGUAGUGGGAGGUAAAAAGAAGCGCCCUGGGGCCCAGCUCCCAUCCUGGCAGGCUGCAGGGCUGGGGCGGGGCUCUGGCAGCUGGGCCCGCAGCUGUCCGCUGGCUCUGCCCCGGCCAGGCUGGCCAGCAGGGCCCCUCCACCACCCCACGCCCCAUGACACAGCAGAAAGUGAAACACGAGUCGCCCCUCCUGGUGGGGUCUGGGAGCCCACCGGAGCUGACCCCCUAGCCCAGCACUGCACGGCCCGCUGGACAAGGGCGCCCCCCGCCAUGCCCCACCUGCUCCAGGGCCCCUGGCACCUGCUGCCCCCUGAGCCGGUGCCCUGUUCCAGAACUCUCCCUGCUUCGUGGCACCUUUUGAGUUGUACACCAUUCGAGCCCAUUAUAACACUGGAUGCAUCCAGGAACUCUUUGAGGCUAGAGCAGGGGGUGUUGCCCCUCCCAUGGCUGACGGGGAAACUGAGGCAGAGUGGAAGCGUCCUGUCUCAGGAGCUGGCAUGUGAGCCACGACUGCCAAAGGCCCGCUGCCAAGGUGAAGCUCCCAGAGGCCCAGCUGGAAGGACCAGGCCUCACCGAACAG